UGGUGGAGCGAUUUGUCAGGUUAAUUCCGUUAACGAACGAGACCUUAUCCUGCUAAAUAGCGCAACGUAUCUUCGGAUAUGUAGUUCGCUUCUUAGAGGGACUUUGUGUUUUUCUAGCGCAAGGAAGUUUGUAGGCAAUAACA
RNAcentral lists this ribosomal RNA (143 nucleotides) under uncultured eukaryote. Its description in RNAcentral is "partial 18S ribosomal RNA". It matches the Rfam family "Eukaryotic small subunit ribosomal RNA", at positions 1299 to 1458 of the family's 1831-position model. The record is from RNAcentral.